AAACUAGUUGGCGCUGCUGUGCAGUAGCAAUGGCUGCUUACGAGCAAUUUGUGAAAUUUGUGUUAGCAAUUUUUCUUAAUUUGUAUAUAUUCCAACUGAUUGUUCUUCUAAAAUUUAACGCUAUCCAAGCUGAGGAACCAUAGAGCUCGAAUGAUUUCUAAACAAAGAUCGUGAUAGUGUGAUAGUGAAACUAAAAGUCCAAAAGGAUCCAGACGCUGAAGAAAAGUCAACAGUGACCUCACAUUACUUCAAUUUGACAUGUUGACGCAUAUCAACCAUCAUCUGCUCAUGAAAGAAGUUUUCACAGCAUAACUACAUAGACAGCCACUACCUGUGAGUUGCAGUCACCAUUUGCCUUAGUUCAGUUAUCAUGCCUUCUCUUCCUGUCUUCUCAGCAAGUAAACCCUCAUAAAUUUAAAAGCCAGCACCUUGUCAUGAGAACAACCCAAUAUUCAUCUUCGUUUCUCCCGCAAAAUCGCCAUCCGAAACAAAGUUAAGUUGAUUUUACAUUAAGAAUUAAAUCUGUAUUCUAAUUUUGCUAUUCGCUAUUCAGAUUACGUCCAUUCAGAAGAAAGGGAGGGGGAACAUGCCAGAAGAAUUAUGGAUCAAAACUCGUGGCGGUGGCGUACGAUAUCAUCGUGGAACGCCGUGUUUGUUGUGCUCGUUAGGGACGGACCGCACUGUUCUGCCCCACGUCAUAGACCGAGCAUUGCUAUUUCUCGUGCCUUUGUACUAUUUUAUUCGGCCGCCAAUUGAUUCUCUGGAGUCUGUUCAUUGACUUUGUCUCCUUCGCUCUACGCUUUAAAAACUCUCGGUUUUUGGUAAUAAGUACAAAUCUUGAUGGCGUUAAUGCGAGUUAGUAUUUUGCAGUGUGGGAGGUGUGAAACCGUGUUGAGUUUCCAUCGUUUCACCAGUGUUUCAACAGAUGUAUUUAUUGACAACAGAAAAUAAAGGAAAAUGGUGGCAAGUUUCCUGUUUUCGUUGCUGCACAGUCAGAAAAGCGAUACCUUUCAAUAGUAAAUGUAAAAGUCCAGAAGUUACUCCAAAAAAUACACCGACCAGUAGUAAGUUUUAUA
Molecule: long non-coding RNA, 1076 nt
Filed under: Daphnia magna
Lineage: Eukaryota; Metazoa; Arthropoda; Branchiopoda; Diplostraca; Daphniidae
Description: uncharacterized LOC116917329, transcript variant X3
Source: RNAcentral